RNAcentral lists this transfer RNA (76 nucleotides) under Paracoccus denitrificans. Its description in RNAcentral is "tRNA-Ile". It matches the Rfam family "tRNA". From Rfam's summary of the family: Transfer RNA (tRNA) molecules are approximately 80 nucleotides in length. Their secondary structure includes four short double-helical elements and three loops (D, anti-codon, and T loops). Lineage: Bacteria; Pseudomonadati; Pseudomonadota; Alphaproteobacteria; Rhodobacterales; Paracoccaceae. The record is from RNAcentral.
GGGAGCAUAGUUUAGUUGACUAAAACCCAGCCCUGAUAAGGCUGAGACCCGAGUUUGAUACUUGGUGCUCCUACCA